Molecule: ribosomal RNA, 497 nt
Filed under: uncultured bacterium
Lineage: Bacteria
Description: partial 16S ribosomal RNA
Rfam family: Bacterial small subunit ribosomal RNA
Source: RNAcentral
GAUGAACGCUGGCGGCGUGCCUAAUACAUGCAAGUCGAGCGAACGGACGAGAAGCUUGCUUUUCUGAUGUUAGCGGCGGACGGGUGAGUAACACGUGGAUAACCUACCUAUAAGACUGGGAUAGCUUCGGGAAACCGGAGCUAAUACCGGAUAGUAUUUUGAACCGCAUGGUUCAAAAGUGAAAGACGGUCUUGCUGUCACUUAUAGAUGGAUCCGCGCUGCAUUAGCUAGUUGGUAAGGUAACGGCUUACCAAGGCAACGAUGCAUAGCCGACCUGAGAGGGUGAUCGGCCACACUGGAACUGAGACACGGUCCAGACUCCUACGGGAGGCAGCAGUAGGGAAUCUUCCGCAAAGGGCGAAAGCCUGACGGAGCAACGCCGCGUGAGUGAUGAAGGUCUUCGGAUCGUAAAACUCUGUUAUUAGGGAAGAACAUAUGUGUAAGUAACUGUGCACAUCUUGACGGUACCUAAUCAGAAAGCCACGGCUAACUACGUG